Molecule: ribosomal RNA, 320 nt
Filed under: uncultured eukaryote
Lineage: Eukaryota
Description: partial 18S ribosomal RNA
Rfam family: Eukaryotic small subunit ribosomal RNA
Source: RNAcentral
CCCCUAGAUGUUCUGGGCCGCACGCGCGCUACACUGAACAGUUCAACAAGUCUUAACCUUGGCCGAUAGGUCUGGGUAAUCUUUGAACGCUGUUCGUGAUUGGGAUAGACCUUUGCAAUUAUGGGUCUUCAACGAGGAAUUCCUAGUAAACGCAAGUCAUCAGCUUGCAUUGAUUACGUCCCUGCCCUUUGUACACACCGCCCGUCGCACCUACCGAUUGAAUGGUCCGGUGAAAUCUCGGGACGGCGGCUCGGUCACUUGCGUCCGACUGCUGAAACUUGAUUAAACCAUAUCAUUUAGAGGAAGGUGAAGUCGUANCA